CGAGCGGUAGGCCCUUUCGGGGGUACACGAGCGGCGAACGGGUGAGUAACACGUGGGUGACCUGCCCUCAGCUCUGGGAUAAGCCUGGGAAAACCGGGUCUAAUACCGGAUAUGACCUCCUGUCGCAUGGCGGGUGGUGGAAAGUUUUUUCGGCUGAGGAUGGGCCCGCGGCCUAUCAGCUUGUUGGUGGGGUGAUGGCCUACCAAGGCGACGACGGGUAGCCGGCCUGAGAGGGCGACCGGCCACACUGGGACUGAGACACGGCCCAGACUCCUACGGGAGGCAGCAGUGGGGAAUAUUGCGCAAUGGGCGAAAGCCUGACGCAGCGACGCCGCGUGGGGGAUGACGGCCUUCGGGUUGUAAACCUCUUUCGCCAUCGACGAAGCCCUUCGGGGUGACGGUAGGUGGAGAAGAAGCACCGGCCAACUACGUGCCAGCAGCCGCGGUAAUACGUAGGGUGCGAGCGUUGUCCGGAAUUAUUGGGCGUAAAGAGCUCGUAGGCGGUGUGUCGCGUCGGUCGUGAAAACUUGGGGCUUAACCCUGAGCUUGCGGUCGAUACGGGCAUCACUUGAGUUCGGCAGGGGAGACUGGAAUUCCUGGUGUAGCGGUGAAAUGCGCAGAUAUCAGGAGGAACACCGGUGGCGAAG
This 647-nucleotide ribosomal RNA is filed under the name uncultured bacterium. RNAcentral's name for it is "bacterial SSU rRNA". It matches the Rfam family "Bacterial small subunit ribosomal RNA", at positions 63 to 720 of the family's 1533-position model. The record is from RNAcentral.